RNAcentral lists this long non-coding RNA (906 nucleotides) under Homo sapiens (human). Its description in RNAcentral is "HSALNT0315532". The record is from RNAcentral. Lineage: Eukaryota; Metazoa; Chordata; Mammalia; Primates; Hominidae.
AAAAGAAAGAGGUAAGCGUGGCCUGACCUAGCCACCCACCAACAGGAAUAAUGGCUGAAAAAGCGGGGUCUACAUUUUCACACCUUCUGGUUCCUAUUCUUCUCCUGAUUGGCUGGAUUGUGGGCUGCAUCAUAAUGAUUUAUGUUGUCUUCUCUUAGAAAGGCAAGAAGAUAUCAGAUUGACAUCAUUUAGAAGAAUUAAGAAAACUAUGAACAUGACUGAUUAUUAAAUGUCUCAUGUUAAACAAUGCAAUGUUUGACAUCACUUUACAAACUUGGAUCAUAAACUGGCACUUUGAACCCAGACAUACAUCCAUGGCAGGGCCAGACGAACUCAAGUGGCACUUGCCACACUGAACUCAGAAUCACUACAUGAAGCUUAUCGUGCCUGGCUCCUUUUUUGACAAAGUUAAGCUCUCCCAGGAGGCUCCUCAGGUUUUUGCAAGAAGGCUUGGGUUUAUUUGCUCCAUCAGGUUGGCAAAAAUGUUUGGAUCACACUUCCACUCAAGCAACAUGUCUGGAUUCUCAGAGUCUCCUGAUGCAAACAGGUAUAUCCAGAUGUACGAGAUGAGACUUAUGGAGGCUCACUUGCCCAGAGUUUCUCAGCUGGUCACUUGCUCAGCAGAAGUUGAAUUCUUGAUCCAGGUCUCUGAAGCAUGUGCGAGCUAAAGUUUGAGUUAUGAAUUCAAAUGUUGUCAGGGCUCAGGUGAGGAAAAGAGUAAAACUGGCUAGGUGGAGACUGAAGAUUUGGAAGCAAUUUUUGGCAUGGAAGAACUUGAGACCAGCAUUACCAGAUCUUCCCAUUUUUCAAGAGAAACUGAAAAUAUCUUCUCUUUAAUGUGAAAUCUCUGUAUUUAAAAUGCUAUAUAUUAAUUUUUUUAAAUAAACAGGAUUUGGGUUAGGCACA